UACAGGGGGUGCAAACGUUGCUCGGAAUUAUUGGGCGUAAAGCGCGCGUAGGCGGCUAUCUAAGUCGGAUGUGAAAGCCCCUGGCUUAACUGGGGAAGUGCACCCGAAACUGGGUAGCUAGAGUGCGAAAGAGGGUCGCGGAAUUCCCGGUGUAGAGGUGAAAUUCGUAGAUAUCGGGAGGAACACCGGUGGCGAAGGCGGGUCUCUGGGCCGAAAUUGACGCUGAGGAGCGAAAGCGUGGGGAGCAAACAGG
This 253-nucleotide ribosomal RNA is filed under the name uncultured bacterium. RNAcentral describes it as "partial 16S ribosomal RNA". It matches the Rfam family "Bacterial small subunit ribosomal RNA", at positions 524 to 776 of the family's 1533-position model. The record is from RNAcentral.